This 325-nucleotide ribosomal RNA is filed under the name Bacillus velezensis. RNAcentral's name for it is "bacterial LSU rRNA". It matches the Rfam family "Bacterial large subunit ribosomal RNA", at positions 608 to 931 of the family's 2925-position model. Lineage: Bacteria; Bacillati; Bacillota; Bacilli; Caryophanales; Bacillaceae. The record is from RNAcentral.
UUGUAGAAUGAACCGGCGAGUUACGAUCCCGUGCAAGGUUAAGCAGAAGAUGCGGAGCCGCAGCGAAAGCGAGUCUGAAUAGGGCGAAUUGAGUACGUGGUCGUAGACCCGAAACCAGGUGAUCUACCCAUGUCCAGGGUGAAGUUCAGGUAACACUGAAUGGAGGCCCGAACCCACGCACGUUGAAAAGUGCGGGGAGGAGGUGUGGGUAGGGGUGAAAUGCCAAUCGAACCUGGAGAUAGCUGGUUCUCUCCGAAAUAGCUUUAGGGCUAGCCUCAAGGUAAGAGUCUCGGAGGUAGAGCACUGAUUGGACUAGGGGCCCCUA